Long non-coding RNA from Piliocolobus tephrosceles (Ugandan red Colobus), 1484 nucleotides. RefSeq lists it as uncharacterized. The transcript is spliced from 4 exons. The record is from RefSeq and is a predicted model, not a curated record. Lineage: Eukaryota; Metazoa; Chordata; Mammalia; Primates; Cercopithecidae.
ACAAAUAAUCAGGAGAAUUUAUUGCAUGUCUUGACAGAUAAUGAGUAAUGAACACUUACAGGGCUACACAAAUCCACAGACAUCUAGAUUAACCAUAUUGUGCAAUACCAUGAAAUUAACAACUGGAAUUAUGCAGGGAUCUAAUCAAGAAAGUACAAGGAUUCUUAAAAGGAGCUUUCCUCAAAUUUCUACAAGUACCGAGGUACAUUUAAUGAAUACAAAAAUAAUAAAAGUGACCAGAAAAGACUGGAGGUAUAUAGGUAGAAUGAUAUGUGUACCAGUCACACUAUUCACAAUAUAUAUUUCAGAUUUACAUUAACAUAUCACAAUAAGCCUAUCAAAACUAGGUAACAUGGGACAUUGUUGGUGGAGGUAAGUGCCGAUGCGGGCCUAAACUAUAGCCCACAGCGUGGGACUGUCACAGAGACUGGUUCACUGAUGACGUCUCCCUACACGUCUUCCUGCCGUGACUUUUUCCCAGGUAUUCAGGUGAGAAAUGAUUGAGUCCUAACCAAUCUCAGAUACACUGGGUUUUCCCAUUUUCUCUUUCAUCCAAAGUGUGUUCUGACCCUGUGAGUGUUGAGGGAUUGCAGGUAACCAGGUAUUUAUCACUGUAUUUCCCACCGCCAUUGCUGCCCCUAGGUUUUGUGGAGGUGUCCAGUUGUGAAAUGGUGGUUUUCUGCUGUCAGGGUCAACCUAGGAUUACUGCAAGUAUCCAGGUCUAGUGGUGUGUCCCAUAAAGCUGGAAGAACUCAAGGUUCUUUGCUGGAGUCCUGGUGGAAAACCCCGUGUCCUUCUACAUAUAUAUCUUCGUGCCUAUUUCAGCCCCCUACCAUGACAUCACAAUGAAUAUGAUACAGGUCUGGAGGUCAGCACUGAUGAGGGCUGAAAGCAAUACAUGGGCCACGUGAGGUUCAGCUGUCUAGGAAAGUGAUGAUGGUGUCCAUCCUUCCUGUUGUUCCCAAGAUUUCGCUUCAGUAGUCCUAGGAAAUAAUGGUGUCCUGUAGAGAGAAAUGCUGUCUUCUGGGAUCAUGGCCCUGAGCUUGGGGACACCGUCAGCAUACAGGUUCCCGGGAGGAAAUCCUAACUAACCAGAGACACGAUCAGGGGACCUGUCUGCUAUCUGGGAGAGAACGUAUGAGGUAUGAGGUAUGAGGUACCCUGUGAGUGCUGAUUGAUUGACAUGUGCCAGGGAACUCACGUGGCACUGUGCAUCACAGGAGUAACCGCGGUGGAUUUGCAGAGAAGCGGGCCAGAGAAAAUGGCAUGUCCUACAAUGGCCUAGACCUUGGAGGGCUUGCAAGCAUCCAGGUACAAUUUUGGCUCCCACAAUGAUGAUCGUGAGCAGGCGGUUUUCAGGGUCCUAGUGGAAAUGCUGUGUCCAUAGAUACAUUGGUCACAUAUGUGGUUUUAGGUUCCCUUGGAAAGGUCACAGGAAACCUCUUUGAGCAGAGGACUGUGCCUGUAUUUAGGUGGGUGACGGC